RNAcentral lists this ribosomal RNA (468 nucleotides) under uncultured bacterium. Its description in RNAcentral is "partial 16S ribosomal RNA". It matches the Rfam family "Bacterial small subunit ribosomal RNA", at positions 28 to 507 of the family's 1533-position model. The record is from RNAcentral.
GACGAACGCUGGCGGCGUGCUUAACACAUGCAAGUCGAACGGAAAGGCCCUGCUUUUGUGGGGUGCUCGAGUGGCGAACGGGUGAGUGACACGUGAGUAACCUGCCCUUGACUUUGGGAUAACUUCAGGAAACUGGGGCUAAUACCGGAUAGGAGCCCCUGCUGCAUGGUGGGGGUUGGAAAGUUUCGGCGGUUGGGGAUGGACUCGCGGCUUAUCAGCUUGUUGGUGGGGUAGUGGCUUACCAAGGCUUUGACGGGUAGCCGGCCUGAGAGGGUGACCGGCCACAUUGGGACUGAGAUACGGCCCAGACGCCAACGGGAGGCAGCAGUGGGGAAUAUGGCACAAUGGGCGGAAGCCUGAUGCAGCAACGCCGCGUGCGGGAUGACGGCCUGCGGGUUGUAAACCGCUUUCGCCUGUGACGAAGCGUGAGUGACGGUAAUGAGUAAAGAAGCACCGGCUAACUACGUG